CCGUCUCUUUCUCAAGGAAAGACUUGUCGGGGGUCACAGACGGUGCGGCCAUUUUCCCUGGGAACCUACUGUGAGGAAAGAGGGAGUACCUGCAGAGGGGAUUGCCCUACCCAUAAUUCCCAUCAAUUUCUGGGGCGCUCUUCAGGUAGACUCCUUCCCCCCUCCCCUAACCUCUUGCUCUCACUGAGCAAACGUCAUAGGUGGGGCUUCGUGUUCACACAAGGCGGCAAACGCCACACAUGGUUGUGCCUGAACAGGGACGAACCAUCUUUGGGAUGAUAAGCCGUCCUGUCUGGGAAGAUUACUCAGAACUGGCUUCACAGCCCAUGGCCACUGUUUUUGCAGGAAGGAGUCCAUGUGAGGACAUACUGAGAAGGCGGCCAUCUACAAGCCAGAAAGAGAUUCCUUAUCAGAAAUAAACCAUGAAGGCACCUUGGUCUUGGACUUCCAGCCUUCAGAACUGUGAGAAAAUAAAUGUCUGAUGUUUAAGCCA
This is a long non-coding RNA of Ailuropoda melanoleuca (giant panda), 493 nucleotides long. RefSeq lists it as uncharacterized. The transcript is spliced from 2 exons. The record is from RefSeq and is a predicted model, not a curated record. NCBI's taxonomy places the organism in Eukaryota, Metazoa, Chordata, Mammalia, Carnivora, Ursidae.